This 497-nucleotide ribosomal RNA is filed under the name uncultured bacterium. RNAcentral describes it as "partial 16S ribosomal RNA". It matches the Rfam family "Bacterial small subunit ribosomal RNA", at positions 28 to 507 of the family's 1533-position model. The record is from RNAcentral.
GACGAACGCUGGCGGCGUGCCUAAUACAUGCAAGUAGAACGCUGAAGCGAGGAGCUUGCUCUUCUUGGAUGAGUUGCGAACGGGUGAGUAACGCGUAGGUAACCUGCCUUGUAGCGGGGGAUAACUAUUGGAAACGAUAGCUAAUACCGCAUAACACUGGAUGACACAUGUAAUUUAUUUGAAAGGGGCAAUUGCUCCACUACAAGAUGGACCUGCGUUGUAUUAGCUAGUAGGUGAGGUAAUGGCUCACCUAGGCGACGAUACAUAGCCUAACUGAGAGGGUGAACCGCCACACCGGGACCGAGACAAGGCCCAGACUCCUACGGGAGGCAGCAGUAGGGGAUCUUCGGCAAUGGGGGCAACCCUGACCGAGCAACGCCGCGUGAGGUAAGAAGGGUUUCGGAUCGUAAAGCUCUGUUUUAAGUCAAGAAAGGGUGGGAGAGUGGAAAGUUCACACUGUGACGGUAGCUUACCAGAAAGGGACGGCUAACUACGUG